Molecule: ribosomal RNA, 1342 nt
Filed under: uncultured bacterium
Lineage: Bacteria
Description: bacterial SSU rRNA
Rfam family: Bacterial small subunit ribosomal RNA
Source: RNAcentral
GAUGAACGCUGGCGGCGCGCCUAACACAUGCAAGUCGAACGGCACCCCUCUCCGGAGGGAAGCGAGUGGCGAACGGCUGAGUAACACGUGGAGAACCUGCCCCCUCCCCCGGGAUAGCCGCCCGAAAGGACGGGUAAUACCGGAUACCCCCGGGCGCCGCAUGGCGCCCGGGCUAAAGCCCCGACGGGAGGGGAUGGCUCCGCGGCCCAUCAGGUAGACGGCGGGGUGACGGCCCACCGUGCCGACAACGGGUAGCCGGGUUGAGAGACCGACCGGCCAGAUUGGGACUGAGACACGGCCCAGACUCCUACGGGAGGCAGCAGUGGGGAAUCUUGCGCAAUGGGGGGAACCCUGACGCAGCGACGCCGCGUGCGGGACGGAGGCCUUCGGGUCGUAAACCGCUUUCAGCAGGGAAGAGUCAAGACUGUACCUGCAGAAGAAGCCCCGGCUAACUACGUGCCAGCAGCCGCGGUAAUACGUAGGGGGCGAGCGUUAUCCGGAUUCAUUGGGCGUAAAGCGCGCGUAGGCGGCCCGGCAGGCCGGGGGUCGAAGCGGGGGGCUCAACCCCCCGAAGCCCCCGGAACCUCCGCGGCUUGGGUCCGGUAGGGGAGGGUGGAACACCCGGUGUAGCGGUGGAAUGCGCAGAUAUCGGGUGGAACACCGGUGGCGAAGGCGGCCCUCUGGGCCGAGACCGACGCUGAGGCGCGAAAGCUGGGGGAGCGAACAGGAUUAGAUACCCUGGUAGUCCCAGCCGUAAACGAUGGACGCUAGGUGUGGGGGGGACGAUCCCCCCGUGCCGCAGCCAACGCAUUAAGCGUCCCGCCUGGGGAGUACGGCCGCAAGGCUAAAACUCAAAGGAAUUGACGGGGGCCCGCACAAGCAGCGGAGCAUGUGGCUUAAUUCGAAGCAACGCGAAGAACCUUACCAGGGCUUGACAUAUGGGUGAAGCGGGGGAGACCCCGUGGCCGAGAGGAGCCCAUACAGGUGGUGCAUGGCUGUCGUCAGCUCGUGUCGUGAGAUGUUGGGUUAAGUCCCGCAACGAGCGCAACCCCCGCCGCGUGUUGCCAUCGGGUGAUGCCGGGAACCCACGCGGGACCGCCGCCGUCAAGGCGGAGGAGGGCGGGGACGACGUCAAGUCAUCAUGCCCCUUAUGCCCUGGGCUGCACACGUGCUACAAUGGCCGGUACAGAGGGAUGCCACCCCGCGAGGGGGAGCGGAUCCCGGAAAGCCGGCCCCAGUUCGGAUUGGGGGCUGCAACCCGCCCCCAUGAAGUCGGAGUUGCUAGUAAUCGCGGAUCAGCAUGCCGCGGUGAAUGCGUUCCCGGGCCUUGCACACGCCGCCC